RNAcentral lists this unclassified non-coding RNA (253 nucleotides) under plant metagenome. RNAcentral describes it as "partial contains 5.8S ribosomal RNA, internal transcribed spacer 2, and large subunit ribosomal RNA". The record is from RNAcentral.
CGAGCGGGCGGUCGCGAGGAGAGAGGUCGUUGCACGCGGAGACCGGCAGGGGCGAGCUACUCAACGCGAUCGCACGCGAGGCCGAGUCGUUCUCCGGGGAAUUUGGCUUCUUCGCGAAAAACCUGACCACCGGCGAGACCAUCGGCCAGCAAGCCGACGCCGUGAUGCCGACCGCGAGCGUGAUCAAGAUCUGCGUCCUCUGCGAACUCUACCGCCAGGCCGAGGUCGGCCUGGUCGAGCUGUUUGAGCGCCG